This 68-nucleotide transfer RNA is filed under the name Littorina saxatilis. Its description in RNAcentral is "transfer RNA-Gly". Lineage: Eukaryota; Metazoa; Mollusca; Gastropoda; Littorinimorpha; Littorinidae. The record is from RNAcentral.
UAUUUCUUGAGUAUGAUAGAGUACAAUUGCCUUCCAAGCAAAAGGAUUAAUAAAAUUUAAAAGAAAUA